Long non-coding RNA from Photinus pyralis (common eastern firefly), 1781 nucleotides. RefSeq lists it as uncharacterized. NCBI's taxonomy places the organism in Eukaryota, Metazoa, Arthropoda, Insecta, Coleoptera, Lampyridae. The transcript is spliced from 3 exons. The record is from RefSeq and is a predicted model, not a curated record.
AAUAAAUUAUUCUCCAUCCUACCUCUGGUUAGUCUUCAUACAUCUUCUAACGUAGGUAAUUAUAUGUAAAUAUGCUCCGGCUAGCUGUCAAUCAGUAGUCCUCUUGUUGUGGUCACUCAAGGAAAAGGACAAAUACGUUAAUCUUGACUGAAAUGGCGUAAAUAGUGGUUGAGGCGAAACAACCCUGUAAAGUAAAUGGUUAAAAAGCAUUCAUGAGCAAAACGCACCUCACCUUGAUACGAAGUAUUCAUCUUUAUUUGUAAAUGAACCAAACGCAAUAUACAAUGAAUCACCGUCGGGUACUAAAAGAAAAUUUAUUUUAUUUUAAUAAACACCCUGUAUAAUAAAAACUAAGCGAUCUACAAUACGUUAACAAAUUAAGAAUUUUCAGGUGCAGGUCUAAUUUCUACUACCACCCGGCACCCACAAACACCAACGUGAUUCAAAAUUGGGAGUAGCACGGCCCGAUGAUGAGUUAUAAACACGAAAUCGAUAGCCUACAGAAAGAUUUAAAAAAAAUUUAGUUUUUUUUUUUAUAAUAAGCAAUCUCUGUGUUAUGUAGAAUUAAACAGCGCGUGAGCAUAAAAUUCUCUUCAAUACGUUAUAAUAAAGAGAAUACGGUAGCACAAUUGUUCAAAAAUACCUUUAAUGAUUGUGCACCAGGAGUUCUAGGGGCGUUCUGCUCACGGCUUUUAAUCAGAAUGAAAAUGGUCCUCCUUUCAGCUGUACUCUGCAGUCUACGGACCGUCUAUAUAACCCUAGGGCGCAUCGGAAUCCUUCAACGCGCGACUCGGCCAUGCUCGACACGAGUAGCAUGGAAUUCACCACUACUAGCGGCAGUGCAUCUCCAGAUACAAGUGCGCUGCAUGGUACCACCGCUGCCACCAGCUCAACCUCAAACCCAACAACGAUUCCGGCCACGGUGGCUUAAACCAUUGAUCACCUGUCCGCCACACUAUAAGUACUAAAGGGCACCACCACCGGCCUUCCUGUUUUCUUCGGGAGACCCACUCGAAGAUCCCUCUACUUUCUUCGACGACCAGGAGAAAUACUUCGCCAAAAAUCCCGUUGCCAGCGAAACUCAACGCACCCUGGCUGGGCAGCAACUGCAGAAGGCGGUCGCCGGCUGGUGGAGGCCGCGCACAUACCUCCCCAUGACGAACCCCGAGGUGCGCAGUGAGUCACGUAGCAUUACGAUAAGUCAACGAUCCAGACUGAACGCAGAGCUCGACAACCGCGACCAAAAGAACGAUUCCGAAGUGCUCUUUCUUCAGCGGAAGGCCCAGCUCACUACACCGUUGCGCAUCGAGCGGACGUACUGCACCCUAUGGUGCGGUCGUUCUUGCCCCUACGAGCCCCCCGCAGUGUGAUCGGGAUUCUGCAGUUUCUGGAGGUGGUUGAAGAAGGCACUAGGCCAGUCGGCGCCAAACCUCCAAAGAGGUAAGCUUCCUUGCCUGCCUGCCAUUACUGUCCCGAGCGUCACUUUCAUCGAAACUGUCCCAUGGCUCAAAGAUCACUCCAAGAAAAUGCUUAAGCGGCCGGGGUGCCAAGCUCUCCUCGGCAGUAAUUCACCAAAUACACGAGCCACCACAACUCGGGCUGCCAAAUAUCGCCAUGGAACUUGGGGUUGGCCACCGCCUUGCCCUGCUCGACACUGGAGUCUCUCACAACUUCAUCGAUCGUCGGCUGACCACCCACAUCAGCAAGGGUAGAAAACCAACGGGCGAUGCCCUUUGGAUUAAGUAAUGCCUCGUCCAUCGUUCAGAACCUAAUGACGCCGA